This 542-nucleotide ribosomal RNA is filed under the name uncultured archaeon. RNAcentral's name for it is "bacterial SSU rRNA". It matches the Rfam family "Archaeal small subunit ribosomal RNA", at positions 326 to 868 of the family's 1478-position model. The record is from RNAcentral.
CGGGGUGCACCAGGCGCGAAAACUCUACAAUGCAGGCAACUGCGAUAGGGGAACAUCGAGUGAUCCUCAUAUUGGGGGUCUGUCCACCCGCCUAAAAAGCGGGUGUUAGCAAGGGCCGGGCAAGACCGGUGCCAGCCGCCGCGGUGAUACCGGCGGCUCGAGUGGUGGCCGAUAUUAUUGAGUCUAAAGGGUCCGUAGCCGGCUUUGCAAGUCUCUCGGGAAAUCCAGCGGCUUAACCGUUGGUCGUCCGGGGGGUACUACAUUGCUUGGGACUGGGAGAGGUAGGAGGUACUCAGGGGGUAGGAGUGAAAUCCUGUAAUCCUUUGGGGACCACCGGUGGCGAAGGCGUCCUACCAGAACAGGUCCGACGGUGAGGGACGAAAGCUAGGGGCACGAACCGGAUUAGAUACCCGGGUAGUCCUAGCCGUAAACGAUGCUCGCUAGGUGUCACAACAGUCGUGAACUGUUGUGGUGCCGUAGGGAAGCCGUGAAGCGAGCCACUUGGGAAGUACGACCGCAAGGUUGAAACUUAAAGGAAUUGG